Molecule: ribosomal RNA, 696 nt
Filed under: uncultured bacterium
Lineage: Bacteria
Description: bacterial SSU rRNA
Rfam family: Bacterial small subunit ribosomal RNA
Source: RNAcentral
GAGACAUCUGAAGGAGAUUAAAGAUUUAUCGGUGAUGGAUGGGGAUGCGUCUGAUUAGCUUGUUGGCGGGGUAACGCCCCACCAAGGCGACGAUCAGUAGGGGUUCUGAGAGGAAGGUCCCCCACAUUGGAACUGAGACACGGUCCAAACUCCUACGGGAGGCAGCAGUGAGGAAUAUUGGUCAAUGGGCGAGAGCCUGAACCAGCCAAGUAGCGUGCAGGAUGACGGCCCUAUGGGUUGUAAACUGCUUUUAUAAGGGAAUAAAGUGAGUCUCGUGAGACUUUUUGCAUGUACCUUAUGAAUAAGGACCGGCUAAUUCCGUGCCAGCAGCCGCGGUAAUACGGAAGGUCCGGGCGUUAUCCGGAUUUAUUGGGUUUAAAGGGAGCGUAGGCCGGAGAUUAAGCGUGUUGUGAAAUGUAGACGCUCAACGUCUGCACUGCAGCGCGAACUGGUUUCCUUGAGUACGCACAAAGUGGGCGGAAUUCGUGGUGUAGCGGUGAAAUGCUUAGAUAUCACGAAGAACUCCGAUUGCGAAGGCAGCUCACUGGAGCGCAACUGACGCUGAAGCUCGAAAGUGCGGGUAUCGAACAGGAUUAGAUACCCUGGUAGUCCGCACGGUAAACGAUGGAUGCCCGCUGUUGGUCUGAAUAGGUCAGCGGCCAAGCGAAAGCAUUAAGCAUCCCACCUGGGGAGUAC